This 1970-nucleotide ribosomal RNA is filed under the name human metagenome. RNAcentral describes it as "bacterial LSU rRNA". It matches the Rfam family "Bacterial large subunit ribosomal RNA", at positions 1 to 1977 of the family's 2925-position model. The record is from RNAcentral.
GGAAGUACGAAAGGGCGUACGGUGGAUGCCUAGGCUCUUACAGGCGAUGAAGGACGUGAUAAGCUGCGAAAAGCCGCGGGUAGAUGCAAAUAAUCUUUGAUCCGCGGAUAUCCGAAUGGGACAACCCAGUGGAGCAAACCUCCACUAUCCCGCUAUUGCGGGAGGCGAACGCUGGGAACUGAAACAUCUUAGUACCAGUAGGAAGAGAAAAUAAAAAUGAUUCCCCUAGUAGUGGCGAGCGAACGGGGAAGAGCCCAAACCAUCGGGAUUCCGGUCCUGGUGGGGUUGUAGGACUGCGUCGUUGCAAGAAGUAUGGUGAGAAGAAGCAACUGGAAAGUUGCGCCGUAGCGGGUGAUAGCCCCUUAUUCGAAGCCAUAGGAAGCAUAGCAGAAUCCUGAGUAGCGCGGGACACGAGAAAUCCUGUGUGAAUCCGGCGGGCCCAUCCGCCAAGGCUAAAUACUCGUAAGAGACCGAUAGCGAACCAGUACCGUGAGGGAAAGGUGAAAAGCACCUCGUGUAGAGGAGUGAAAAAGUUCCUGAAACCGUACGCCUACAAGCGGUCGGAGCUCCUUUAUGGAGUGACGGCGUGCCUUUUGCAUAAUGAACCUACGAGUUGCCGGUAUCAGCAAGGUUAAGGGUUUUGAAGUCCCGCAGCCGAAGCGAAAGCGAGUCUUAACAGGGCGCUGAGUUGUUACAGGCAGACGCGAAACCAAGUGAUCUACCCUUGUCCAGGAUGAAGUCCGGGUAACACCGGAUGGAGGUCCGCACCAAUAAGCGUUGAAAAGCUUCUGGAUGAGGUGAGGGUAGGAGUGAAAGGCCAAUCAAACUUGGAGAUAGCUCGUACUCCCCGAAAUGCAUUUAGGUGCAGCCUCGGGCGUUCCCUGUGUGAGGUAGAGCGACUGAUUGGAUGCGAGGGCUUCACCGCCUAUCAAGUCCAGACAAACUCCGAAUGCACACAGGCUAAGCCCGGGAGUGAGGGCGUGGGUGCUAAGGUCCACGCCCGAGAGGAGAAGAAUCCUGAUCACCGGCUAAGGCCCCGAAAUCCGGGCUAAGUUAAACUAACGAAGUGUGGUCCCCGUGACAGCUAGGAUGUUGGCUUGGAAGCAGCCAUUCAUUCAAAGAGUGCGUAACAGCUCACUAGUCGAGGGUCCGGGCAUGGAUAAUAAUCGGGUAUAAGUCAGAUACCGAAGGCGCGGGAUAGUAAUGUAUAUUAAAAGUAUCGGUAGGGGAGCAUUCCAUCGGCGUUGAAUGGUGAGGGUAACCGAUCCUGGAGCUUAUGGAAAAGCAAAUGUAGGUAUAAGUAACGAUAAAAAGGGUGAGAUUCCCUUUCGCCGAAAGACCGAGGUUUCCCGGGCGAUGCCAAUCAGCCCGGGGUUAGUCGGGUCCUAAGUCUCAGCCGAACGGCGAAGGCGAUGGCAGAUGCGGUUAAUAUUCCGCAACUCGCAUAUACAGUGAUGUGGAGACGGAGCAGUGACACUGCCGCGCCCUGACGGAAUAGGGCGUUUAAGUGCGUAGGCUAUGAGGAAGGCAGGCAAAUCCACCUUCCGAGCUGAACCAUGAAAGUACAGGUAAUCCUUCGGGAUAACUUGAGUGCAGGUAAUCAUACUUCCGAGAAAAUCCGCUAAACUUAAUGUAUAUGCGACCCGUACCGCAAACGGACACACGUGGUCGGGUAGAAUAUACUAAGGCGUUGAGAGAUUCAUGGUUAAGGAACUAGGCAAAUUGACCCCGUAACUUCGGGAUAAGGGGUCCUCAUAGCAAUAUGAGGCGCAGAGAAUAGGUCCAGGCAACUGUUUAACAAAAACACAGGGCUGUGCAAAAUCGAAAGAUGAAGUAUACAGUCUGACACCUGCCCGGUGCCGGAAGGUUAAGAGGAGAGCUCAGAGGCAACUCGAAGGUUUGAAUUGAAGCCCCGGUAAACGGCGGCCGUAACUAUAACGGUCCUAAGGUAGCGAAAUUCCUUGUCGGGU